AAUGGGUUGUAGUCCCUUGUUGCCUUGACUAGAACUUACUGCACAUGAAAGCAUACCUAAUGGCCACAUUGCCCUCAAUGCCAUCCAACGUCGCCAUGCAAAAGUUUCUACUGGGGACACAAUAUCCAUGAGCAGAUUUGUUCCACCUGAAGACUUCAACCUAGCAUUGCUUACUCUUGAAUUGGAGUUUGUAAAGAAAGGGGCUAAAGAUGAGCAGGUUGAUGCUGUUCUUUUGUCUCAGCAGGUUCAGAAGAGAUUUAUCAACCAGGUAAUAG
This is a long non-coding RNA of Camellia sinensis, 275 nucleotides long. RefSeq lists it as uncharacterized. The record is from RefSeq and is a predicted model, not a curated record. NCBI's taxonomy places the organism in Eukaryota, Viridiplantae, Streptophyta, Magnoliopsida, Ericales, Theaceae.